This 203-nucleotide non-coding RNA is filed under the name Roseicyclus elongatus. RNAcentral also lists the same sequence under 1 other name. The record is from RNAcentral. Lineage: Bacteria; Pseudomonadati; Pseudomonadota; Alphaproteobacteria; Rhodobacterales; Roseobacteraceae.
CCUACCCCUAUGGGUGAUGGUGCCCCGCAUCGCGUGCGGGGUGAAAAGGGAAUGCGGUGCGGGGCCCUGCCCCAAGUCCGCGACUGCCCCCGCAACUGUAGGCGGCGUGCCCCCCCCGAAAUGCCACUGGGCCGAAAGGUCCGGGAAGGCCGGGGGCGCAAAACUCCGCAAGUCAGGAGACCUGCCAUCGUCCAUUCACCCAA